UACGGAGGAGGCAAGCGUUAUCCGGAAUUAUUGGGCGUAAAGCGUCCGCAGGUGGCACUUCAAGUCUGUCGUCAAAGACUGGGGCUUAACCCUGGAAAGGCGGUGGAAACUGAAGCGCUAGAGUGUGGUAGGGGUAGAGGGAAUUCCCGGUGUAGCGGUGAAAUGCUUAGAUAUCGUCAAGAACACCGAUAGUGUAGACAGUUUACUAGGCUCAAACUGACGCUGAGGCACGAAAGUGUGGGGAUCAAACAGG
Molecule: ribosomal RNA, 253 nt
Filed under: uncultured bacterium
Lineage: Bacteria
Description: partial 16S ribosomal RNA
Rfam family: Bacterial small subunit ribosomal RNA
Source: RNAcentral